UAACCCAACAUCUGGCACAUGAUGAGGGAGAAAGCAGUCGGCAAGCAGAGGAGUUAGACCCAUCUGGUGACAGUGUGAGUACAUAUGUAGGGAGGCAGGUACGGCAAGAAGUGAUCCUGCGCUAUUUUUCAGAUAACUGAGGGGAUCGGGGCUCAUCACUCUGCGAACUCGCCAAUAGUGCCAGUGGUGGCUGGGGUGACACUGCCGAAAGUCGUCGCCUGGGUGGGGAUGAUGGAGCCGCAGAUUCCGAGCCAAGACGCCGUGUCUUACUUGGCCUCCUGGAAUAUGUGACUACACUGAAGUCUUACCUGCAAUCCCAGCCUCAUCCUGACUUGUCUGAGGCCUGUCUGGCCGGCUGGUCUGUGGGACUGUUGAAAAAGUGUACCAAACAUU
Pseudophryne corroboree (corroboree frog) is the source of this 393-nucleotide long non-coding RNA. RefSeq lists it as uncharacterized. The transcript has 3 exons. Lineage: Eukaryota; Metazoa; Chordata; Amphibia; Anura; Myobatrachidae. The record is from RefSeq and is a predicted model, not a curated record.